GUGGGGAAUAUUGGACAAUGGGCGAAAGCCUGAUCCAGCCAUGCCGCGUGUGUGAAGAAGGUCUUCGGAUUGUAAAGCACUUUAAGUUGGGAGGAAGGGUAGUAACCUAAUACGUUGCUACUUUGACGUUACCGACAGAAUAAGCACCGGCUAACUUCGUGCCAGCAGCCGCGGUAAUACGAAGGGUGCAAGCGUUAAUCGGAAUUACUGGGCGUAAAGCGCGCGUAGGUGGUUCAGUAAGUUGGAAGUGAAAUCCCCGGGCUCAACCUGGGAACUGCUUUCAAAACUGCUGAGCUAGAGUACGGUAGAGGGUGGUGGAAUUUCCUGUGUAGCGGUGAAAUGCGUAGAUAUAGGAAGGAACACCAGUGGCGAAGGCGACUACCUGGACUGAUACUGACACUGAGGUGCGAAAGCGUGGGGAGCAAACAGGAUUAGAAACCCUAGUAGUCC
RNAcentral lists this ribosomal RNA (450 nucleotides) under uncultured bacterium. Its description in RNAcentral is "partial 16S ribosomal RNA". It matches the Rfam family "Bacterial small subunit ribosomal RNA", at positions 354 to 796 of the family's 1533-position model. The record is from RNAcentral.